Molecule: ribosomal RNA, 360 nt
Filed under: uncultured eukaryote
Lineage: Eukaryota
Description: SSU rRNA
Rfam family: Eukaryotic small subunit ribosomal RNA
Source: RNAcentral
AGCUCCAAUAGCAUAUAUUAAAGUUGUUGCAAUUAAAAAGCUCGUAGUUGGAUUUCUGGCAUGAUGCGCCUGGCCCGCCUCAAUUCUGAGUGUGUGUGCGAGUGCAUUUGCAGAAUGUGUCUAUUCUUCAUUGAGCCGGAUACGUGAUGUAAACCUUUUACUUUGAAAAAAUUAGAGUGUUUAAAGCAGGCAUUUUUCUAUGAAUAUAUUAGCAUGGAAUAAUAAUCUAGGACUUCGGUUCUAUUUUGUUGGUUUCUAGAUCUAAAGUGAUGAUUGAUAGGGAUAGUUGGGGGUGCUAGUAUUAUUCUUGAAUUCUCUUAAGACUAACUUAUGCGAAAGCAUUCACCAAGGAUGUCUUCU